This 73-nucleotide transfer RNA is filed under the name Lachnospiraceae bacterium. Its description in RNAcentral is "tRNA-Val". It matches the Rfam family "tRNA". Rfam says of the family: Transfer RNA (tRNA) molecules are approximately 80 nucleotides in length. Their secondary structure includes four short double-helical elements and three loops (D, anti-codon, and T loops). RNAcentral also lists the same sequence under 2 other names. Lineage: Bacteria; Bacillati; Bacillota; Clostridia; Lachnospirales; Lachnospiraceae. The record is from RNAcentral.
GGGAUCUUAGCUCAGCUGGGAGAGCAUCUGCCUUACAAGCAGGGGGUCAUAGGUUCGAGCCCUAUAGGUCCCA